Molecule: ribosomal RNA, 545 nt
Filed under: uncultured Alphaproteobacteria bacterium
Lineage: Bacteria; Pseudomonadati; Pseudomonadota; Alphaproteobacteria
Description: bacterial SSU rRNA
Rfam family: Bacterial small subunit ribosomal RNA
Source: RNAcentral
UAGUGGCGCACGGGUGCGUAACGCGUGGGAAUCUGCCCUUCGGUUGGGAAUAACACAGAGAAAUUUGUGCUAAUACCUUAUAAUGUCUUCGGACCAAAGAUUUAUCGCCGAGGGAUGAGCCCGCGUAGGAUUAGGUAGUUGGUGGGGUAAUGGCCUACCAAGCCGACGAUCCUUAGCUGGUCUGAGAGGAUGAUCAGCCACACUGGGACUGAGACACGGCCCAGACUCCUACGGGAGGCAGCAGUGGGGAAUAUUGGACAAUGGGCGAAAGCCUGAUCCAGCAAUGCCGCGUGAGUGAUGAAGGCCUUAGGGUUGUAAAGCUCUUUUACCAGGGAUGAUAAUGACAGUACCUGGAGAAUAAGCUCCGGCUAACUCCGUGCCAGCAGCCGCGGUAAUACGGAGGGAGCUAGCGUUGUUCGGAAUUACUGGGCGUAAAGCGCGCGUAGGCGGUUACUCAAGUCAGAGGUGAAAGCCCGGGGCUCAACCCCGGAACUGCCUUUGAAACUAGGUAACUAGAAUCUUGGAGAGGUCAGUGGAAUUCCGAG